UCAAGAAACUUCCACAAUGGGCGAAAGCCUGAUCGAGCGACGCCGCGUGCAGGAUGAAGGCCCUCGGGUUGUAAACUGCGGUAGUAGGGGAGGAACGCAAGUGACUGUACCCUACGGAAAGUGGUUGGUAACUACGUGCCAGCACCAGCGGUAAUACGUAGACCACAAGCGUUAUCCGGAUUUAUUGGGCGUAAAGAGCAUGUAGGAGGUCCGGUGCGUCUCUGGUUAAAGCCCACCGCCUAACGGUGGAAGUGCCAGAGAUACGAUCGGACUGGAGGAUGUGAGAGGUGCAUGGAACUCACGGUGUAGGGGUGAAAUCCGUUGAUAUCGUGGGGAACACCAAAGGCGAAGGCAGCGCACUGGCCAAAAUCUGACGCUCACACACGAAAGCUAGGGUAGCGAAGAGGAUUAGAUACCCAGGUAGUCCCUGAGCGGGCUGGCAAGGCGCAU
Molecule: ribosomal RNA, 450 nt
Filed under: uncultured bacterium
Lineage: Bacteria
Description: bacterial SSU rRNA
Rfam family: Bacterial small subunit ribosomal RNA
Source: RNAcentral